GACGAACGCUGGCGGCGUGCUUAACACAUGCAAGUCGAGCGGAGCGGCGAACGGGUGAGUAACGCGUGAGUAACUGCCCCCCUCUCUGGGAUACCAGUUGGAAACGGCUGCUAAUACCGGAUAGUGGGGGAUGGCUCGCGUCCUACCAGCUUGUUGGUGGGGUAGUGGUCUACCAAGGCGACGACGGGUAGCCGGCCUGAGAGGGCGACCGGCCACAGUGGGCAGGGAUACGGCCCAAACUCAUACGGGGGGCAGGAGUGGGGGAUAUUGCACACUGGGGGGAACCAUGAUGCAGCGACGCCGGGUGGGAGAUCACGGUCUUCGGGUUGUAAAACGCUUUCAGCCAUGAGGGGGUAGUGGCAGAAAAAGCACCGGCUAACUACGUGCCAGCAGCGGGGGUAUAC
Molecule: ribosomal RNA, 404 nt
Filed under: uncultured bacterium
Lineage: Bacteria
Description: partial 16S ribosomal RNA
Rfam family: Bacterial small subunit ribosomal RNA
Source: RNAcentral